UACGGAGGGUGCGAGCGUUAAUCGGAAUUACUGGGCGUAAAGGGCGCGUAGGCGGUUGAGUAAGUCGGAUGUGAAAGCCCCGGGCUUAACCUGGGAAUUGCAUUCGAUACUGCUCGGCUAGAGUAUGGUAGAGGGAAGCGGAAUUCCGGGUGUAGCGGUGAAAUGCGUAGAUAUCCGGAGGAACACCAGUGGCGAAGGCGGCUUCCUGGACCAAUACUGACGCUGAAGCGCGAAAGCGUGGGGAU
Molecule: ribosomal RNA, 245 nt
Filed under: uncultured bacterium
Lineage: Bacteria
Description: partial 16S ribosomal RNA
Rfam family: Bacterial small subunit ribosomal RNA
Source: RNAcentral